This 347-nucleotide ribosomal RNA is filed under the name uncultured bacterium. RNAcentral's name for it is "partial 16S ribosomal RNA". It matches the Rfam family "Bacterial small subunit ribosomal RNA", at positions 338 to 682 of the family's 1533-position model. The record is from RNAcentral.
CCUACGGGAGGCAGCAGUGAGGAAUAUUGGUCAAUGGGCGCGAGCCUGAACCAGCCAAGUAGCGUGAAGGAUGACGGCCCGACGGGUUGUAAACUGCGGUUAUAAAGGAAUAAAGUGAGGCACGUGUGCCUUUUUGUAUGUACUUUAUGAAUAAGGAUCGGCUAACUCCGUGCCAGCAGCCGCGGUAAUACGGAGGAUCCGAGCGUUAUCCGGAUUUAUUGGGGUUAAAGGGAGCGUAGAUGGGUUGUUAAGUCCGUUGUGAAAGUUUGCGGCUCAACCGUAAAAUUGCAAUUGAUACUGGCAGUCUUUAGUACAGUUGAGGUAGGCGGAAUUCGUGGUGUAGCGGU